RNAcentral lists this ribosomal RNA (756 nucleotides) under uncultured archaeon. RNAcentral's name for it is "bacterial SSU rRNA". It matches the Rfam family "Archaeal small subunit ribosomal RNA", at positions 325 to 1082 of the family's 1478-position model. The record is from RNAcentral.
ACGGGGUGCAGCAGGCGCGAAAACUUUGCAAUGUGCGCAAGCACGACAAGGUUAAUCCGAGUGAUUCCUGCUAAAGGAAUCUUUUGCUAGUCCUAAAAACACUAGCGAAUAAGGGGUGGGCAAGUUCUGGUGUCAGCCGCCGCGGUAAAACCAGCACCUCAAGUGGUCAGGAGGAUUAUUGGGCCUAAAGCAUCCGUAGCCUGCUCUGUAAGUUUCCGGUUAAAUCCAUUAGCUUAACUGAUGGGCCGCCGGAAAAACUGCAAAGCUAGGGAGUGGGAGAGGUAGACGGUACUCAGUAGGAAGGGGUAAAAUCCUUUGAUCUAUUGAAGACCACCUGUGGCGAAGGCGGUCUACCAGAACACGUUCGACGGUGAGGGAUGAAAGCUGGGGGAGCAAACCGGAUUAGAUACCCGGGUAGUCCCAGCUGUAAACGAUGCAGACUCGGUGAUGCCCUGGCUUGUGGCCAGUGCAGUGCCGCAGGGAAGCCGUUAAGUUUGCCGCCUGGGAAGUACGUACGCAAGUAUGAAACUUAAAGGAAUUGGCGGGGGAGCACCACAAGGGGUGAAGCCUGCGGUUCAAUUGGAGUCAACGCCAGAAAUCUUACCCGAGGAGACAGCAGAAUGAAGGUCAAGCUGGAGACUUUACCAGACAAGCUGAGAAGUGGUGCAUGGCCGUCGCCAGCUCGUGCCGUGAGAUGUCCUGUUAAGUCAGGUAACGAGCGAGAUCCCUGCCUCUAGUUGCCACCAUUACUCUCAG